AGAGAGAUGGCAGAGUGGUCGAAUGCGGCGGUCUUGAAAACCGUUGACUGUCAAAGGUCCGGGGGUUCGAAUCCCUCUCUCUCUGCUA
RNAcentral lists this transfer RNA (88 nucleotides) under Emticicia oligotrophica DSM 17448. RNAcentral describes it as "tRNA-Ser". It matches the Rfam family "tRNA". Rfam says of the family: Transfer RNA (tRNA) molecules are approximately 80 nucleotides in length. The record is from RNAcentral. Lineage: Bacteria; Pseudomonadati; Bacteroidota; Cytophagia; Cytophagales; Leadbetterellaceae.